This 379-nucleotide long non-coding RNA is filed under the name Homo sapiens (human). Its description in RNAcentral is "non-protein coding lnc-CDHR4-2:1". The record is from RNAcentral. Lineage: Eukaryota; Metazoa; Chordata; Mammalia; Primates; Hominidae.
AGCACCACAGCCACCAUUAUUGUGCAUCUAGUUCCCCGGAGGGCCAGCACAGUGGCCACCAGCACCCACAGAACCACAGUUGGCCCAGCUGCUGCAAGCACCCAGCAAACCAGCCCAGGCUUUGCUGCUAAACAGCAUCCAGGGAACUGAGGGAUCCAUCGAGGGUUUCCUGGAGGCACCGAAGAUGGAGAUGUCCCAGGCACCCAGCAGUGUCAUGAGUCUGGUACCGGAAGAGACUACCUGUUUAACACACACACAGGAGCCCGGCGCUGGCUCUGAGGCCAAGUAGCUGUCUUACUAUGUGUGGAAUUUCUUUUUCACACCAUCAUGGGCUGUAUUUUCAAGUUGAUUCAUAAUAAACAAAAUUACAAAAAGAAAA